Molecule: long non-coding RNA, 1544 nt
Organism: Diabrotica virgifera virgifera (western corn rootworm)
Lineage: Eukaryota; Metazoa; Arthropoda; Insecta; Coleoptera; Chrysomelidae
Exons: 2
Source: RefSeq, a predicted model, not a curated record
AAUAAACGAAAAUAGUUUCUAUCCUUGUGGGAUCGGUACUCACCGGAGGGACCGCAGACGUUCGGAUACAAUUAGCGUCUCUUUGCAAAACAAUGACGACUUUGCUAAGUAACAAGACAUUUACUCAACACACAACACACACACUACCGACUACACUAGGUACCUAAUUGGAAAAAUCCACUGUACCAUGCCAAUGGCCAUUAGUUGUCGAGGCAUUAUAAGCCAAAUAAAAAAAAUUGCAUACACUCGUGAUUAGUGACUUUUUCAAGCCCUUUUUGAACAGCACUUUUAUAAAUAAGCACUUUAUACCGAUGAAACUUACAGAGCAUAUAAACAAUACAUAAGUAAAGUAGCUUGUGAAGCGGUGAGGAUUAAUUUCAUUUGGGAUUAGGGGGUUAUUUUCACCAGUUUUUUUUACCCAAAAAUUGGGAUGAACUUUAUUCUGAGCGUAUCUUGCUUACUUUUUAUGAUGGAAAUUUUUUUAAAAAAACAAGAAUAAUGCCUUUUUAAAACAUUUAAAUAAGUUAUGAUGAGUUUUCCAUGAAAAGUGCUUAAUUUUUUGAUUAUUUUACAACUCUGCUUCUACUGGGUCUACAGACUGCACAAGAAUCUACAGGUCGAGCAAGUCUCGUAAAUUUCACGAUUGCGAGCCACGCUUCACGCAACCGUGUUUGCGUACUUGUGUUUCGAGUUGCGUGGUCGUGCGGAGUUAUAUUUACCAAAUUUAAAUGUAAUCGUUUCUACUGAUAAUAAUAUACUAUUCUCAAUAUGGCUACUGGGUGUAAAAGAUAAAUCUUAUUCUAUCUGUUCUUCAUGAGUUUUAGAUAAUUUUAGUUGUAUUUCUUUGUAAUUUUGUGUUGUACAAAGAUUAAUUUAACAUUUUCUCUGGAAGUAUUAAUUUAGAAAGAUAAUAUGCUUCAUUGGUGUUGUGUUUUGAAGUGUGAAAUGCAAAGUAAUUGUGAAGUCAAGAUAAAGUUCACUUUUAAACUGAACUAAAUAAGGUAUCUGAGAGACAACAAUGGUUAAAUGCAAUACAAUGUACAGGUUUUACUAGCGAAAUGAAAAUUUUCCUGUCCUGUCUGCUGUAAUCAUUUUAUAUCUGGUAAGUUACAAUUACAACAGUAACGAUUUUUGAAGAUGUUAACAUUUUAAUCUUAUAGGAAAAUAGGAAAACCAGCCGACUUAAUCGAUAAUAACAAUCUCCAGAUUGGGUUCCUUCAAUAAAUAUGGGCUAUAAACACAAUGAAAUAAGUUCCCCAAAAUCUAAAAUGGAGUGGUAUCAAAGGAGAAUUAAAGGAAAUAAUAUUCAUAUUGAAAUUAUUUAUAAGGCACUGGACUGUCUUAAAUUCUACAAUAAUACUAGAAUCAGCUGAGAGAAGUGGUCUACAAAAAACCAGGAAGGAAACGGAAUAUGUGGCUACGAAAGGCAAAAGAAAGGUUUACAAAGCAAAUGUGACACAUUUUUUUAAAAUAUUUAGGAAUAUCAGUAAAUUGCAUUAAAAAAUGUAUGAAAAGAUUUUGUUCAAUAAAAAUGUUUAUAUUUA